This 67-nucleotide transfer RNA is filed under the name Pteria penguin. Its description in RNAcentral is "tRNA-Val". Lineage: Eukaryota; Metazoa; Mollusca; Bivalvia; Pterioida; Pteriidae. The record is from RNAcentral.
GAAGGUUUAGUAUAAUUUAGUACGUCCCGCUUACAACGGGAGGGUGGAAUAAUGUUUUCAACCUUUU